AUGGAAAGAGGAAUAAAGGAACUCAAAAUCAUAAACAAACAUAAUCACUUGUUCUUAUUCCUUCUCCGAUACAGGAAAAAAAAGAGAAGAAUCAAACAACUGGAAGAAUUAAGCAGACUCUUACAACGAGUUGGAAGGGGUUGGUGGCGGUGGAGCGGGCGCAGUGGGAGCCGCCGAGCCGGCGAGCUUCGCCUCGCAGUCGAAGCACCACUGCCCGGCACUGCAGCCAGCACUCGUCGAACACUUGUCGCCUACCUGAAUUCAGAUUUUUUUUCGAAAAGGGGGGACUCCCCGGCCUAA
Molecule: ribosomal RNA, 300 nt
Filed under: Triticum aestivum (bread wheat)
Lineage: Eukaryota; Viridiplantae; Streptophyta; Magnoliopsida; Poales; Poaceae
Description: partial small subunit ribosomal RNA
Source: RNAcentral